AAUAGGUGCAGUUUUGCACUAUUCACGUUCAAAGUUUGACCGUUCGUCUUAUUUAAAAAUUUUUUAUGAUUAGUAUUUUUAUUGCUAUGAGAUGAUAAAACAUAAAUAGUAAUUUAUGUGUGACUAAAUAUUUUUAAAUUUUUUAUAUAAGACAGACAGUCAAACGGAUGUAGUACUUGAU
This 181-nucleotide microRNA precursor is filed under the name Oryza sativa Indica Group (long-grained rice). Its description in RNAcentral is "MIR812 microRNA precursor family". It matches the Rfam family "MIR812 microRNA precursor family". Lineage: Eukaryota; Viridiplantae; Streptophyta; Magnoliopsida; Poales; Poaceae. The record is from Rfam by way of RNAcentral.